RNAcentral lists this unclassified non-coding RNA (245 nucleotides) under Hevea brasiliensis (rubber tree). The record is from RNAcentral. Lineage: Eukaryota; Viridiplantae; Streptophyta; Magnoliopsida; Malpighiales; Euphorbiaceae.
CGAGUUCAACAACUUGUUCAAUGCUGCGAUGGCCAGCGACUCCUCCUUCGUACAGGAUGUUCUUGUUAAGCAGUGUGAUGUACUAUUUGGAGGUAUAAGUUCGCUGGUGGACGUGGGUGGCGGCACCGGGGGCAUUGCCAGAGCAAUUUCGGAGGAAUUCCCCCAUGUGAAGUGCAGUGUUCUAGAUCUGGCUCAUGUGGUGGAGGAAGCACCAAAGGAUGGGAGAGUAGAGUUCAUUGCGGGCG